This 468-nucleotide ribosomal RNA is filed under the name uncultured bacterium. Its description in RNAcentral is "partial 16S ribosomal RNA". It matches the Rfam family "Bacterial small subunit ribosomal RNA", at positions 28 to 507 of the family's 1533-position model. The record is from RNAcentral.
GACGAACGCUGGCGGCGUGCUUAACACAUGCAAGUCGAACGAUGAAGCCUUAGCUUGCUUUGGUGGAUUAGUGGCGAACGGGUGAGUAACACGUGAGCAACGUGCCCAGGACUCUGGAAUAACCGCGGGAAACCGUGGCUAAUACCGGAUAGGUGCCGAGGCCGCAUGGUCUUCGGUUGGAAAGUUUUUGCGGUUCUGGAUCGGCUCACGGCCUAUCAGCUUGUUGGUGGGGUAAUGGCCUACCAAGGCGACGACGGGUAGCCGGCCUGAGAGGGUGACCGGCCACACUGGGACUGAGACACGGCCCAGACUCCUACGGGAGGCAGCAGUGGGGAAUAUUGCACAAUGGGCGCAAGCCUGAUGCAGCAACGCCGCGUGGGGGAUGACGGCCUUCGGGUUGUAAACCUCUUUAGUAGGGAAGAAGCGCAAGUGACGGUACCUGCAGAAAAAGCACCGGCUAACUACGUG